UUUUAUAAAAAAAAUAAAAAAUUUUUUUUUAAAAAUAAGCUAAAUAAAGCUUUGGGG
Molecule: transfer RNA, 57 nt
Filed under: Lysandra coridon
Lineage: Eukaryota; Metazoa; Arthropoda; Insecta; Lepidoptera; Lycaenidae
Also listed under: 1 other name
Description: partial tRNA-Met
Source: RNAcentral